Molecule: long non-coding RNA, 473 nt
Filed under: Astyanax mexicanus (Mexican tetra)
Lineage: Eukaryota; Metazoa; Chordata; Actinopteri; Characiformes; Acestrorhamphidae
Description: lncRNA (ENSAMXG00005012701.1)
Source: RNAcentral
UCAAUGCCCUGAACCACCACUCUGUUUCCAAAGUUAGGCGGGUUCCUGACAGACUGCUGCUGAACAGAGACAUAAACAAGUACUGCAGGUUCAUCUGGAGGAACAGCAGCUCUGCCAACUACAACAGGUGUGGUAGAGCCAAUGAGAAAUACAGAGCUGAGAGUUGCCUGGGUGUGAAUAUCCCAGAAGACCACUUGAGGGGCUAUACCGUCUAUCCACAUCCUGACCUGCCAAACUUGAAAGUGCUGAAGCCAGACGGGAUGGGGGUCCCAGACUCUGACUUCCUGCUCUACAUGCACACUCAGAGCACUGAGAAAUGUAGAGCUGAUUCUAGUGUGCUGGCGUAUUCUGCUCACUGUCAGACUGACACAGACGGACGACCUGUGGCAGGGGUCAUGGUUAUUUGCAGAGAGUCACUGCGUGCGGAUCAGUUCAGUCAUGAACGCUUGGUGCAGGUAACUGCUGUAUAUUAC